This 918-nucleotide unclassified non-coding RNA is filed under the name Aphidius gifuensis. RNAcentral describes it as "bAG family molecular chaperone regulator 2, transcript variant X2". The record is from RNAcentral. Lineage: Eukaryota; Metazoa; Arthropoda; Insecta; Hymenoptera; Braconidae.
GGCUUAAUUUUUUGUGUUUAUUAACAAAUUUUUGUGUUGAACCAUCGUCAGUUUGUGACGAGAAUGAGACUAAUCAUCUUGACAAAAUAACGUCAUUAUAAAUAUUAUCUAAAUAAUAAAUCAAUUAUUUACAAUAAACAAUUGUUUUUAUUUAAUAUGGAAAAUCCAAUUCCUCAAAUAAUGGAAAGCAGUGAGAGCGAAUAUAAAAAACCAAAAGAUAGGUUAGUUAAUUUACUUGAUCAAAUUGAAUUAAGAGUUGAACAAUUAAGACGUGAUGCACUUAGACUUGAAGAAGAAAAAGAUACAAUGUUAACAACCCUUGAUACACUAAGAACAAAUGAAAUUUUAACAUUUUUGGAAGAAGCUGACAAAGAUGAUGUUUUACGAUAUGCUGAUCGUCUCUCGAUGAGAACUUUGACUGUUGAUGUACUUGUCAAGGUACAGCGUGAUCUGGUUCAACAAGAAGCUCUUCAUCAGGUAAAUGGUUUGAUUGAUAGUCUUGUCAUCAGCUUGAAGAGUGAUCCAUGCUCAACAAGAAAUCGUUGUGCUGCAUUUAUGAGUGCCUGUUCAUCACAUGGAAAUGAUUAUUCUGAUAAAGUAUUUGAAACAGCUAUAUUAGGCUGUACCUUGGAUGAUCAAAAACGUGUUAAAAAACGUUUACAAGGUCUUCUUGAUUAUAUUGAUAAAGUUCAUACAUUCGAAAUGCAAUGAGAGUCAUUGUCAACUGAUGAUUGUGCGUGGGGUAUCAAAGCAUUUGACAGGAAGUGAAAGCCAAUGAUAUUUAUACACGACAUUUUAGUUCACGUGUGACAUCAAUCAUUGACCCAGAUUAAAACCAGCUAUUAAAUUCAAUUUUUCAAAAUACUGUUAAAUAAAAAAAGCAGCAACAAAAAACAGUCUAAUCAAUAUUAUCAACAG